UACACUCCUGCGGGAGGCAGCAGUGGGGAAUAUUGGACAAUGGGCGCAAGCCUGAUCCAGCCAUGCCGCGUGAGUGAUGAAGGCCCUAGGGUUGUAAAGCUCUUUCACCGGUGAAGAUAAUGACGGUAACCGGAGAAGAAGCCCCGGCUAACUUCGUGCCAGCAGCCGCGGUAAUACGAAGGGGGCUAGCGUUGUUCGGAUUUACUGGGCGUAAAGCGCACGUAGGCGGACUAUUAAGUCAGGGGUGAAAUCCCGGGGCUCAACCCCGGAACUGCCUUUGAUACUGGGAGUCUCGAGUUCGAUAGAGGUGAGUGGAAUUCCGAGUGUAGAGGUGAAAUUCGUAGAUAUUCGGAGGAACACCAGUGGCGAAGGCGGCUCACUGGCUCGAUACUGACGCUGAGGUGCGAAAGCGUGGGGAGCAAACAGGAUUAGAUACCCGAGUAGUCCCAUGAU
This 453-nucleotide ribosomal RNA is filed under the name uncultured organism. RNAcentral describes it as "partial 16S ribosomal RNA". It matches the Rfam family "Bacterial small subunit ribosomal RNA", at positions 332 to 801 of the family's 1533-position model. The record is from RNAcentral.